RNAcentral lists this long non-coding RNA (1112 nucleotides) under Heterocephalus glaber (naked mole-rat). RNAcentral describes it as "lncRNA (ENSHGLG00000039174.1)". Lineage: Eukaryota; Metazoa; Chordata; Mammalia; Rodentia; Bathyergidae. The record is from RNAcentral.
AAGCCAGGAGGCAGGCUGGAAGGACUGGGGGGGGGGGCUCCCACUAAGCAUAGCCAGCUUCCUGGAGGUCUGGGGGCCCGGAUGGUGGGCACUUGGGGACAAUUGGGGACAGCUGGCCAUGGGGCACUGGGGGGUCUGUCCCUAACUGCCACUCCACUUCCUAGCACCCCAUCCUCAGGCCCAGUCCCCACCGACUUCAUUCUUUUUGGAGGUUGAAGGCUUCUUGCAUCCCCCUGGAGGGGAAAAGUGUGACUUGGGCUCAUGAUGGAGGCCCAUGUGCGGUUGGGGAGCACGACCCUGAGACCUCAGCAGAUGGCAGGGGAAUUCAGGGACAUGGCCGGAUGCCAAGGCAGCAGCAAGUGCUGGGGAGAGCUUAGGGGGCAGCUCCCGCUUGCUUGGCGGAGCCCCAGACUGAAGUAACCUUAAAAAAGCAAUUAAAUCACCUUAAAAAAAAAAAGAAAGAAAAACCAGUAAAGAAAAAUCAAUAUUGGGAGAAAGGGGAAGAGAGAAAAGGAUGGGGAGGAGUGGUGGGGGAGCUCUGGAAAGAUCUGGAAGCCUCCCAGGGAGGGGGCCUGGGCAGUGAGGAGGCGUCUGUGGUCCCUGGGACACUUGAUUUCCAACUCAGCAGCUGCUUCCGGUGCCAACUCCACUUUGCCCUCUGGGCUACUGUGUCCCAGCCAGAGGCGGCCCCUCAUCCCAAGGGUCGUAUCUUUCCAGUUUGGGGCGCUGCUCCCCAGACUCACUAGAAGCUUACACGAGGAAGCCUAGCUUCCCUGGGGCUGCCAGGCUCCACUCUGCCAGGUGACCAGGGACCUGGUAUCAUCAUCAGCAGCAGCAGCAGCAGCAGCAUCAGCAGCAUCAUCAUCAGUGUCCUUAGCAGUCGAUCCCUCCCAGUGAAGCCAGCAUGUCUUCCUGCUCCCUCUACACCUCUAUCUGGACUCUGGACUCUUCUCCUCCUUUCCACACCCUCUUCCCCUACCAAUGAGAGCUCCCCUUUACCCUCUGGCCUGUCCCCCUACACCCUAAUCUCAAGCCUGGUUGUGGCAAGAGACUUAGGGAACAUUUGGUGAAGCAAAGUGGCCAUGGAUAUGCAGAUCACCCAUGGUGCCUUC